This 234-nucleotide long non-coding RNA is filed under the name Physcomitrium patens. Its description in RNAcentral is "long non-coding RNA (PPAT_LNC013560)". Lineage: Eukaryota; Viridiplantae; Streptophyta; Bryopsida; Funariales; Funariaceae. The record is from RNAcentral.
UUCUCCUUCGUUGGUGGCGGUACUAGUGGUCGACUUCCUGGUUGUGCUCCUAUUGUUUUUUGGAUUUGAUUUUUUAGUAUUUUUGUUUCAUUGUCCUGGUGUGUUGGGGCAAUAUCGCGGUUCUUGCUGCGGUGAAGCUGCAACUUGUCGAAUGCUUGCUUCCGUGCAGUUUUGCAAGGCUGCGGGGUGCUUCUGCUUCGUGUCCUUUUGGAGAGUUGACGCUUCCUCAACGGU